GCUGGCGGCGUGCCUAACACAUGCAAGUCGAACGAGAAAGUGGAGCAAUCCAUGAGUAAAGUGGCGACCGGGUGAGUAACACGUGACUAACCUACCUUCGAGUGGGGGAUAACCUCGGGAAACCGGGGCUAAUACCGCAUAACAUCUUCGGGAUGCGAAGCCGAAGAUCAAAGGAGCAAUUCGCUGGAAGAGGGGGUCGCGGCUGAUUAGCUAGUUGGCGGGUAACGGCCCACCAAGGCUUUGAUCGGUAGCCGGCCUGAGAGGGCGCACGGCCACACUGGAACUGAAACACGGUCCAGACUCCUACGGGAGGCAGCAGUGGGGAAUUUUGCGCAAUGGGGGAAACCCUGACGCAGCAACGCCGCGUGGAGGAUGAAGCCCCUUGGGGCGUAAACUCCUUUCGACCGGGACGAUUAUGACGGUACCGGUGGAAGAAGCACCGGCUAACUCUGUGCCAGCAGCCGCGGUAAUACAGAGGGUGCGAGCGUUGUUCGGAAUUA
RNAcentral lists this ribosomal RNA (500 nucleotides) under uncultured soil bacterium. Its description in RNAcentral is "bacterial SSU rRNA". It matches the Rfam family "Bacterial small subunit ribosomal RNA", at positions 35 to 553 of the family's 1533-position model. The record is from RNAcentral.